This 426-nucleotide ribosomal RNA is filed under the name Anaplecta omei. RNAcentral describes it as "partial 16S ribosomal RNA". It matches the Rfam family "Archaeal large subunit ribosomal RNA", at positions 1921 to 2592 of the family's 2987-position model. Lineage: Eukaryota; Metazoa; Arthropoda; Insecta; Blattodea; Anaplectidae. The record is from RNAcentral.
UUCCUAUUGGUUUUAUAUUAGGUAUGACCUGCCCACUGAUGUUUUAAAUGGCCGCGGUAAUUUGACCGUGCGAAGGUAGCAUAAUCAUUAGUCUUUUAAUUGUUGACUUGUAUGAAUGGUUGCACAAGAAACUUGCUGUCUUUAUUUUAUUUUUUGAAAUUAAAUACUAGGUGAAAAUGCUUAGAUAUUUAUAUGGGACGAGAAGACCCUAUAGAGUUUAAUUUUUCUGGUGGUUUUUUUGUUUGUUUUUAUAUUUAACUGCUAGUAGUAUUUUGUUGGGGUGAUUGAAAGAUUUAUUUAACUCUUUUUUUUUCUUAUUAUUUAUUUAUAAUUUUUUGAUCCUUUAUUAUGGAUUAUUAGAAAAAUUACCUUAGGGAUAACAGCGUAAUCCUUCUUGAGAGUUCUUAUUGAUGGUAGGGGUUGCGA